GAUGAAGAACGCAGCGAAAUGCGAUAAGUAAUGUGAAUUGCAGAAUUCAGUGAAUCAUCGAAUCUUUGAACGCACAUUGCGCCCUCUGGUAUUCCGGGGGGCAUGCCUGUUCGAGCGUCAUUAUAACCACUCAAGCUCUCGCUUGGUAUUGGAGUUCGCGAUCUCGCGGCUCCUAAAAUCAGUGGCGGUGCCUGUCGGCUCUACGCGUAGUAAUACUCCUCGCGAUUGAGUCCGGUAGGUUUACUUGCCAGCAACCCCCAAUUUUUACAGGUUAACCUCGGAUCAGGUAGGGAUACCCGCUGAACUUAAGCAUAUCAAUAAGCGGAGGA
RNAcentral lists this unclassified non-coding RNA (329 nucleotides) under soil metagenome. RNAcentral's name for it is "partial contains 5.8S ribosomal RNA, internal transcribed spacer 2, and large subunit ribosomal RNA". The stretch from base 1 to 120 matches the Rfam family "5.8S ribosomal RNA", at positions 35 to 154 of the family's 154-position model. The record is from RNAcentral.